This is a long non-coding RNA of Maniola jurtina (meadow brown), 271 nucleotides long. RefSeq lists it as uncharacterized. Lineage: Eukaryota; Metazoa; Arthropoda; Insecta; Lepidoptera; Nymphalidae. The record is from RefSeq and is a predicted model, not a curated record. The transcript is spliced from 4 exons.
AACUUUGAAGCUUCGAAUUGACCUUCGUCACCAAUGAGUCUUCUAGUCCGACGAUCCACCGAACCUAAUGCAUCAAGAUCAGACAAUCAGAAUGAAAAAAUGAAGAAAGCGCUAAGACAGAUCGUUUUCUCCCUAGCGUUAAGGUUGUUUGGAAGACAUCGCUAUUUAGCGAUAAGACCGCCUUAUUGUACCUCUACAUUUUAAGCUUUCUUUUUUGUAACCUGUCAUUUGUGUUUUUAUGUAUGUAUUAAAGUAUAUUCAUAUAAUAUAC